This 1161-nucleotide ribosomal RNA is filed under the name Triticum aestivum (bread wheat). RNAcentral describes it as "partial small subunit ribosomal RNA". The record is from RNAcentral. Lineage: Eukaryota; Viridiplantae; Streptophyta; Magnoliopsida; Poales; Poaceae.
AUGGAUUUCAUCGAGGGUCUUCCUAAUUCAGAGGGUGCAAAUUCAAUAUUGGUGGUCGUUGACCGCUUAACAAAGUAUGCUCACUUUCUGCCCUUGCAUCAUCCUUUCACAGCAACUUCAGUGGCCAAAGUUUUCCUGGAUAAUGUGGUGAAACUACAUGGUAUUCCCAAAACCAUUAUCUCUGAUCGUGAUAAGAUCUUCACUAGUAAGUUUUGGAGAAACCUGCUGCAAUCCAUGGGUAUUGAGCUCCACUACAGCACCGCUUACCAUCCGCAAACCGAUGGUCAGAGCGAACGAGUAAAUCAAUGUUUGGAGCAGUAUCUUCGUUGUGCUGUACAAGACAAUCCUCGUCAUUGGCGUCGUUGGCUAUCCAUGGCAGAGUUCUGGUACAAUUCCAGUUUUCAUACUGCUCUUCAAUGCUCACCAUUCCAAGCUUUGUAUCACAUUGCCCCAAAUUUUGGAGGAAUGCCUAACCUUACCGUGUCCAAUGACUCGCCAGCUGCUAGUGUUGUUAUCGACUAUAAGGCACCGACUGAACUUUUGCGUGCUCAGCUGAUACGAGCCCAACAACGCAUGAAGAGCUAUGCUGACAAGAACAGGACUGAACGUCAGUUUCAACCGGGUGAUCAAGUUUUGCUGAAACUCCAACCUUAUGCCCAACAAACAGUGGUCAAUCGUCCAUAUCCCAAAUUAUCCUACAAGUAUUUCGGUCCAUAUACUGUUCUGGAGCGCAUUGGUGCUGUCGCAUACAGACUACAAUUACCAGUUUCAGCUCAGGUACACCCAGUCUUUCAUGUGUCCCAAUUGAAGCCAUUUACUCCAAACUACACUCCUGUGUAUACGGAUAUUCCUGCCGUGCCGGAUUUGACAACAGUAGCACCGGUACCUGUUGCAAUCCUUGAUCGUCGGAUGGUACGCAAGGGCAAUGCAGCAGCACCUCAAGUUCUCAUUCAAUGGGCACAUGUUCCUCCAGAGCGUGCUACCUGGGAGGAUUACUAUGUCGUCAAAAGCAGAUUUCCUGAAGCUCUUCUGUGGGACGAUGAGCAAGCUCAAGCGGGGGGCAAUGUCACGCCUUCCUCCAAUUCGGCGGACAGCGAGUCACCGGCUCCAAACUCCCUGACAAGUGGACCGGCGAACGACGAUGACGUGGACGAUGAAUAG